GGACAGAGUUUUUCCUGUCCGUCCAAGGCUCAUCACAUGUACAUUUUCAUCAAUAGAGAAAAGCACUAGCGAAAACAUACACAAACGGCUUACACGAGGGUAAGCAAUAGCCCUGAGUGAAAGAUAGGAAACUAGUAUUUAUUUUGUACUAUGAUUCAAUUUAGAUCAUAUACAUUACAUCCAACUUGUACAUUUACAAUUCCUUACAUUUCAUUGCAUCAUUUCAUCAUUUCUUUCUUACAUCACAUUUACCUCAAAAGGGAGCUUUACAUUCUUUCUUUACAUCACUAAUCAUCAA
Molecule: long non-coding RNA, 298 nt
Filed under: Ananas comosus (pineapple)
Lineage: Eukaryota; Viridiplantae; Streptophyta; Magnoliopsida; Poales; Bromeliaceae
Description: long non-coding RNA (ACOM_LNC040227)
Source: RNAcentral